Molecule: unclassified non-coding RNA, 357 nt
Filed under: soil metagenome
Description: partial contains 5.8S ribosomal RNA, internal transcribed spacer 2, and large subunit ribosomal RNA
Rfam family: 5.8S ribosomal RNA (bases 5-121)
Source: RNAcentral
GAUGGAAGGACGUAGCGAAAUGCGAUAAGUAAUGUGAAUUGCAGAAUUCAGUGAAUCAUCGAAUCUUUGAACGCACAUUGCGCCCAUUAGUAUUCUAGUGGGCAUGCCUGUUCGAGCGUCAUUUCAACCCUUAAGCCCUCGUUGCUUAGCGUUGGGAGCCUACCGGGAAACUGCAGAGUUUUCUGGUAGCUCCUCGAAGACAGUGGCGGAGUCGGUCUCACACCCCAGACGUAGUAAACUUUUGUCUCGUCCGCGGUUGGGCCGGUCCCCUGCCGUAAAACCCCCCAAAUUUCUAAAGGUUGACCUCGGAUCAGGUAGGAAUACCCGCUGAACUUAAGCAUAUCAAUAAGCGGAGGA